Dendroctonus ponderosae (mountain pine beetle) is the source of this 504-nucleotide long non-coding RNA. RefSeq lists it as uncharacterized. The transcript has 2 exons. NCBI's taxonomy places the organism in Eukaryota, Metazoa, Arthropoda, Insecta, Coleoptera, Curculionidae. The record is from RefSeq and is a predicted model, not a curated record.
UAUAUAUAAUUUGUGAAACGUCAGAUCCAAUUAAGAUGGAAAUUAGCGCUAUUUCCGCAAAUGUUGAAUGUGUUAAGUGAUAUCAAUUGCCGGCCUUGGGGGAAAAUUGUAAAUUUUUGCGUUUUCAACAUGGCAUUUGUAAACAGUCAACCCCCCAAAACCCAGCAAACCUACAGGGACUGAUCAAAAUCGUGCUCAAAAAGAAAAUCGCAAUCUAAUUCGGAUUGGUAGAGUCAAUCGAGCCUAUUGCAAGUAACAACGAAUUUAACGUAAGUGCACCGAAUGGGCCUGUCGUAACGCCAUGGCUGUUACAUAACCGACUUUUAUAGUUCAUGGUCAAAUCGAAGUAUACCUUUAGUUGUGUUCUUAAUUCUAUUUUUGAAUUGAAAUGUAAAAACAGUGACGGGUUACGUCAUGGUAUAGUGGUGCGUGUUGCGAGAAGGCCUAGAAGCGCAAUUAACGACUCUUCUUUCACAACGUUCAUCAAUAGACGUUAACGAAGAA